UUCUUUUUGACUUUUCGACUAUUUUAGACUUUUUUCGAAUUUUCUACAUUUUCCUACUUUUCGACUUUUUUUACUUUUUCCGACUUUUCAACUUUUUCGACUUUUUUUUACUUUUUUCAACUUGGAAGACUUGUGUAUAUAACCUGGUAGAAAAUUUAUUUGACAUUUUAUUCUUGUCAAAGUUAUUGAAAAUUUAGUUCAAUUUCAAAAGAAUUAAAAAACUUUGAUAACUGAUCAUAUAUUUCAUUGAAUUAUAUAGUUAUCGGGAUAAAACUCGACUUAAAUAUGUUUUGUGUACAUAUAAAUCACUCCACGAAGUUUGAAACAGAAAAUAUCAAGAAAAAAUAUGAAAUAAUAGCUUUUUAUGGAGCAAGAGAAAUAUAGAGUCAGUUAAAAAAAACAACGUUUGAGGACACAAAUGCACUAUUUCUCAUUCAGCAUAGCAUGAUUAAGUAUAAAUAUGGAAUAUUUACAGUCCGGCCUUCCCUUAACCAAAAUAUAUGUAGAUCAUGUUCCAAACAAGAAAAAAUAAACUCAUAUCCGCCAUAUUCAAUGAUAUUCGUAGUACAAUGUGGACAAAAUCCAGGUUUGGAACGUGUUUUAUUUUUUCCUUCAGGAUCUUUGAAGUACCAUAUAACAUUUUUCUUCUAUGAUUUUUGGGAAAAAAUUGCGAAAGAUAUUUAUAUAUAUAUAUAUUUUUUUACCUAAAUAAAUAAAUAAUUAAUCUUAUAACUAAAUAAAUUUAUAAUAAUUGUUUGCAUGUUUUCAAAUUUUGAAUUUGUUUUAUUUCCGUUGAAAAACUUAACAUUGUCAUUUACAUUGUUUAUGAUGCCAUCUUUGGAGUAAAGUGGAAGUUUGAAUAUUCAAUUGACGUUUGAGGAAAAAUUCUGCAAUUUUUUUGGAGGAUCGCCUAACAACAGCAAGUUUUCUUAAACAUUAUUUGUAAACAAUAUUUUUUUAAAGAAAAAUAUAUUUUUUUUUUAAAGGAAAAGUACAGAAGAAAACUGUAAGUAGAUGUCAUUUUUUGAGCUUCUGUUGGUUUUACAGAAUAUUAAGCUUAAACUUCUUUUCUUUUUUUCUUCUUCUAUUUGAUAGUUUGCUUUCUGUGAGAGGAAACUAUUUUUUAUAUUUGUAAGGCCAGAAUUGCUCCAGAUUGGUAUUAUUUUUAAUUUUUAUUAAAAUCGAAAUUCAAGGAUCAGAAUCUCUUAUUGCUGUUCGCUUUCAUUUCCUUCUUGUUGGAUUUGUUUCUAAAAUUGGUGCCAGCUUUAAUGAUUGGCACAAAUUUCUGUCCACAAAGAAGCUGUAUAAUUAUAUUGAAGCUGUAUAAUGAUAUUUACCAACUUUUUUAAAGAUAGGACCAUAUUUACCCCUACUCCCCUAUGAGACCACAUGUAGAAAAUUAAAUGCUUUAUUUUUUAAAAAAUAGUCCAUAUUUUUACCAUACUGAGCGGUGUAGUGUAUAAUAUGGUCAGCCAUGUCAGCCAUAUACAUUCGUGCUUGUUUUUUGUAUGUGUUUACAUAAAGAUUAGAGUAUUCAAUUAUUCGGGUUUUUGUCUUAUUCGGUUUAUUCGACAAAUAAUUAUUUGAGGUUUUACGUUAGCCGGUUAAUAAUCGGAUAAUUGAAAAUUCUUCGGUUAUUCGAACAAAAGAAACUAGAUGUUACUAUCGCUUUUUACAAUAAUUUUCUUCAUAUUACACACAGUAACAAAUUUGAAAACAAGCUGUCAAAAUAGAUUACACCUAUACCAAUUCUGCGUACUCCGAUUUUUAUGUCCGUAUAAAAGGAUUUCAAAGUUUAAAGGACUACAAACAAAUAUUUGAAAUAAUUAUAUGCAUUUUAUGAUGCUAAUAUUGGUGUCAAAUGGAU
RNAcentral lists this long non-coding RNA (1867 nucleotides) under Lucilia cuprina (Australian sheep blowfly). RNAcentral's name for it is "uncharacterized LOC124418881". Lineage: Eukaryota; Metazoa; Arthropoda; Insecta; Diptera; Calliphoridae. The record is from RNAcentral.